This 148-nucleotide unclassified non-coding RNA is filed under the name soil metagenome. RNAcentral describes it as "partial internal transcribed spacer 1". The record is from RNAcentral.
CCGAGUUUACAACUCCCAAAACCCCUGUGAACAUACCACUUGUUGCCUCGGCGGAUCAGCCCGCUCCCGGUAAAACGGGACGGCCCGCCAGAGGACCCCUAAACUCUGUUUCUAUAUGUAACUCCUGAGUAAAACCAUAAAUAAAUCA